This 497-nucleotide ribosomal RNA is filed under the name uncultured bacterium. RNAcentral's name for it is "partial 16S ribosomal RNA". It matches the Rfam family "Bacterial small subunit ribosomal RNA", at positions 28 to 507 of the family's 1533-position model. The record is from RNAcentral.
GAUGAACGCUGGCGGCGUGCCUAAUACAUGCAAGUCGAGCGAACAGACGAGGAGCUUGCUCCUCUGACGUUAGCGGCGGACGGGUGAGUAACACGUGGAUAACCUACCUAUAAGACUGGGAUAACUUCGGGAAACCGGAGCUAAUACCGGAUAAUAUAUUGAACCGCAUGGUUCAAUAGUGAAGGACGGUUUUGCUGUCACUUAUAGAUGGAUCCGCGCCGCAUUAGCUAGUUGGUAAGGUAACGGCUUACCAAGGCAACGAUGCGUAGCCGACCUGAGAGGGUGAUCGGCCACACUGGAACUGAGACACGGUCCAGACUCCUACGGGAGGCAGCAGUAGGGAAUCUUCCGCAAUGGGCGAAAGCCUGACGGAGCAACGCCGCGUGAGUGAUGAAGGUCUUCGGAUCGUAAAACUCUGUUAUUAGGGAAGAACAAAUGUGGAAGUAACUAUGCACGUCUUGACGGUACCUAAUCAGAAAGCCACGGCUAACUACGUG